Ictidomys tridecemlineatus (thirteen-lined ground squirrel) is the source of this 456-nucleotide non-coding RNA. Lineage: Eukaryota; Metazoa; Chordata; Mammalia; Rodentia; Sciuridae. The record is from RefSeq and is a predicted model, not a curated record.
GAAUGUGGCUGGUUGAUCACUUGCUCAUCUCCAAACUUCUUUUCAAACAAUUAGGCCCAAUUAAGACUGAGCUAAGGUCUGAUGGAAACAAAUGCAGUAAAUUGUAGAGGGAAGGGAGAGGCACACCUCAGGGACUGAGCUCCUGCAGAGGGCGCUUCUCUUUGACAGGUGACAACACUGACAUGGAGCCCAGUGGUAGUUAAUGACAAGAGACCCACAAACCCAGAAGGUACAAAUACAACCUGGAGAGCUGCGUCUUGUUCAAAGGGCCAACACCGAGGUUGACUGCAGUCUGCACCAAGAUGAAACUGUGGGUCUACAGAGAGAGCACAAAAGCACUGGUCACAUAUCCAACUGAUAGGAGAAGGACGGAAAAUAAGCUCAUUAAUGGGAGAAACCAUCAAAAGCUUUCAAAGUGUAUAAUGGCUGCCAUGAGAAUACACUCAACUUGAUGCA